Molecule: ribosomal RNA, 253 nt
Filed under: uncultured bacterium
Lineage: Bacteria
Description: partial 16S ribosomal RNA
Rfam family: Bacterial small subunit ribosomal RNA
Source: RNAcentral
UACGUAGGGUGCGAGCGUUGCCCGGAUUUAUUGGGCGUAAAGGGCGCGUAGGCGGCCACGCACGUCCGUUGUGAAAUCGCCCGGCUCAACUGGGCGGGGUCGGCGGAUACGGCGUGGCUGGAGCAAGCUAGGGGGCAAUGGAAUUCCCGGUGUAGUGGUGGAAUGCGUAGAGAUCGGGAGGAACACCCGUGGCGAAGGCGGUGGCCUGGGCCGAUGCUGACGCUGAGGCGCGAAAGCGUGGGGAGCGAUCCGG